GGUCUGCUAGCUCAAUUGGUUAGGGCGUCGUAAUAAUAACGCGAAGGUCGUAGGUUCGAUCCCUGCGCAGGCCA
Non-coding RNA from Rhipicephalus microplus (southern cattle tick), 74 nucleotides. Lineage: Eukaryota; Metazoa; Arthropoda; Arachnida; Ixodida; Ixodidae. The record is from the annotation of a RefSeq genome assembly.